This 434-nucleotide non-coding RNA is filed under the name Pan troglodytes (chimpanzee). The record is from RNAcentral. Lineage: Eukaryota; Metazoa; Chordata; Mammalia; Primates; Hominidae.
AGUCCCAGGCUCGCCCAGGCCCGGCCGCCGGCCCGCGCGCACCUGCAGCCGCUAACGGUCCCCCUCUCCGCCCUGGGGGAGCCGGGAGGAUGUGCAGCCCCAGUCCUCCUGCUCGGCGGAGCCUCGCGCGCGCAGAGCCUAGCGCGAUUCGCGCCCUCAUUACCACUACAAAGCGCGGGCCAGACCAAUCCCCUUUCUAAUGCACCAUUUUCGACUGAGAACAUCAAGAGGCCAGAAACUUCCAAGUCAGCUUGCAGACGCAGACGCCUCCUGGGGUCCUGGCUUUAAGAACCAGAUGCCAACAUUCCUGGACAGUUUAUGGCAUCCGGAUCCCUCAAGGGUGCUCAUCUGCAGUUGAGAGUCUAAUAAAUGGCAUUAAUAAAGCGUUUCAGCGACUACCAUGGCUUAACAGUGGCUCCUCCCCUGCCCUGCCA